AUUGAACGCUGGCGGCAUGCCUUACACAUGCAAGUCGAACGGCAGCACGGGAGCAAUCCUGGUGGCGAGUGGCGAACGGGUGAGUAAGGUAUCGGAACGUGCCCAGUCGUGGGGGAUAACGUAGCGAAAGUUACGCUAAUACCGCAUACGAUCUAUGGAUGAAAGCGGGGGAUCGCAAGACCUCGCGCGAUUGGAGCGGCCGAUAUCAGAUUAGGUAGUUGGUGGGGUAAAGGCUCACCAAGCCGACGAUCUGUAGCUGGUCUGAGGGGACGACCAGCCACACUGGGACUGAGACACGGCCCAGACUCCUACGGGAGGCAGCAGUGGGGAAUUUUGGACAAUGGGCGAAAGCCUGAUCCAGCCAUGCCGCGUGCAGGAUGAAGGCCUUCGGGUUGUAAACUGCUUUUGUACGGAACGAAAAGGUUUGGGCUAAUAAGCUGAGCUCAUGACGGUACCGUAAGAAUAAGCACCGGCUAACUACGUGCCAGCCGCCGCAGUAA
RNAcentral lists this ribosomal RNA (500 nucleotides) under uncultured bacterium. RNAcentral describes it as "partial 16S ribosomal RNA". It matches the Rfam family "Bacterial small subunit ribosomal RNA", at positions 30 to 523 of the family's 1533-position model. The record is from RNAcentral.